UACGCGGACAAAUUGAUAUUCCAGAAACUGGUAUUCAAUUUAUGAAAGCAAAAAGCACCGUAAAAAUUACAAGGUUAAGCGACAAAGAAGGAGAGGAUGGGCGAAUUUUGCAGAAAGCAAGAGGCUGAAGCAGAGCAAAUUAUGGUAUCAUGAUUUUAAUAUAGUGGCAUACUUUAUGGAACGACUUGGAAGCCAUGCAUAGAAGGGAAGGAGCGUUUGCCCUAUGAGAAGAAACGCAAAAUCAAAGCAGCUUUGGAGGAGGGAAAACCGAUUCCAACUGAGCUCAGGAAUGAAGAGGCUGCUCUUCGCAAAGAAAUCGACCUUGAAGAUGAAAAUACUGCUGUACCUCGAUCAACUAUUGAUGACGAAUAUGCUAAUUGUAAC
This is a non-coding RNA of Nicotiana tabacum (common tobacco), 384 nucleotides long. The record is from RefSeq and is a predicted model, not a curated record. NCBI's taxonomy places the organism in Eukaryota, Viridiplantae, Streptophyta, Magnoliopsida, Solanales, Solanaceae.